UACGUAGGGUGCAAGCGUUGUCCGGAAUUAUUGGGCGUAAAGGGCGCGUAGGCGGUUUGUCGCGUCGGGGGUGAAAACCCCGGGCUUAACUCGGUGCUUGCUUUCGAUACGGGCAGACUAGAGGCAUGCAGGGGAGAACGGAAUUCCUGGUGUAGCGGUGAAAUGCGCAGAUAUCAGGAGGAACACCGGUGGCGAAGGCGAUUCUCUGGGCAUGUACUGACGCUGAGGAGCGAAAGUGUGGGGAGCGAACAGG
This 253-nucleotide ribosomal RNA is filed under the name uncultured bacterium. Its description in RNAcentral is "partial 16S ribosomal RNA". It matches the Rfam family "Bacterial small subunit ribosomal RNA", at positions 524 to 776 of the family's 1533-position model. The record is from RNAcentral.